Hylaeus anthracinus is the source of this 537-nucleotide long non-coding RNA. RefSeq lists it as uncharacterized. The transcript has 3 exons. Lineage: Eukaryota; Metazoa; Arthropoda; Insecta; Hymenoptera; Colletidae. The record is from RefSeq and is a predicted model, not a curated record.
AGCGUCGUCAAAGAUUUAAACAAUUUAAUUUGAUUUUUGUAAAGUGUUGUGUUAUUCUCUGACGAACAAGAUGUUGAGAAACGAUACGAGAACCACGGAAGCGAUACAAUGAUCCCAUCAUAUACUGAAUCAAUCACGUGAAUGCUGAGGUUCUCAUUGUGCGAUCCAAAUUGAGUUAAGGAAGAUUUGGGUUGGACUAGUGGGGAUCGUAGCUGAGAAUUGCUUGGAGUCUAAGGAAUCUCAACGAGAACUACGACUUGGAGCAAUUGGAAGCUUCCAGAGUGGGAAACAGGGUGGAGCCACACCGUCGUAUAUCUACCUCGACUUCACUCAAUAACUCUCGCUGCAUAGUGAUCUUGAAGAAGAUUGCAUCGAGACCUUCAUGGUAAUCUCACAGACAGGAUGGAAGGCUGAACUCUCAGCAACAAAUCUUGCGUCGGUGCUGGGUUGCUACCGACGCCUUCGGCGCGAAAAUGUGCGCUGAUACCUUGGAAAAUGCUCAAUUAUCACGACAUCGAUUUCUCGGGAACUGAUUAU